This 100-nucleotide signal recognition particle RNA is filed under the name Bacillota bacterium. RNAcentral describes it as "signal recognition particle sRNA small type". It matches the Rfam family "Bacterial small signal recognition particle RNA". Rfam says of the family: The signal recognition particle (SRP) is a universally conserved ribonucleoprotein involved in the co-translational targeting of proteins to membranes. Lineage: Bacteria; Bacillati; Bacillota. The record is from RNAcentral.
GAUUGGGUCCUACGCGGGCGGCCCCCGUGAACCCCGUCAGGCCCGGAAGGGAGCAGCGGUAAGCGGACCGGUCGCGGCGCCGUAGGGAAGCCUAGUCGGU